UAUUGGUAAUCCCAGGUUAUAUAUCUAUAAUCCCAGACUUUUGGGAGGCUGAGGCUGUAGGAAUGCAAGUUCAAGAAUCACAAGACCCUCUCUCAAAAAGAUAAAAAGGAUAACCAUCAUCCUCUAGAUUAGUUGACCAUUUCUUUAGUUGUGGGCAGAAGUGGGGGGAAAUUACAGAAGUAGUGAAGCCAAAGGUGAAUCUUUAUGUAAUUAUGUUUGCCACUCUAGUCAUCUUAACUAAUUUGCAUACUGUGCCAACUAUACAUGUUAAACGUAACUAUCAUAAUGAUAUAAAUGAUGUAAAAAAUUGUUGACAUUCAGAGCAGAUUAGAUAUAUUUUCUUAUCACAUUAAUCCACCAUGUCUAUGGUCUUCCAUAAAUUACCUUCUAGUAUGUACUGGGCUUUAAGUGUUAUUUAUGUCUGGCUUAACUUUUUCUGACUUCACCAAUUGCUGCCAGGAACAUGGCUGGUCACUUAGCAACGUAAUCCAAGUCACAGGGGAGGACAUUGAAAUAUCUGAAGAUGAUCUCUGAAUACACUUACUCCAAAAGAAGUGCCAGUGAACUUCAUCUCCUUACUGAAAUCCUGAAUUUUUGUCAGCUUUUUUCAUUAUGAACAGUAAAGCUGAAGAGAAAAUAACCCAACAGGAAAACACAGAUGAGUGUGCAAGAAUUGAUUUGUGAUGACCUUGAGCUGGACCUAUCAAAUUUUUUGACAUGUUCCGUUAUCUGGAUGACAGUACAAUUUUCAGAAGACCUACAAGAGCAACAGUGUUUCAGUGGUGUAUAAUGCGGACCAUCUACCUGUUUGGGAAGGAUUCAGUAACAGGAAUAAAUGGAUUCAUCCCUCAUUUUAAGAUGUUACAGUGAAGAUACAUUCUUGAAUUUUAUAAGCCAGAUUUUCUUCAGAUUGGAAGAUAAAAAUGAAAGAAAUGUUUAUCAGAGCCCGAAGAUUGAAUAUUGGAUAGCUGCUGAAUCUUCUUUUUGAAAUUUAUCUACUUCAGUAUCUCUUUGGAAAAUUCACUGAAGGAAACUGUUGGUCCUGGGCAGAACGUCCCUCCAGUGGCUCAUCUGAAGAGUUAAAUCUGGAUUUGACUGCUGUAUUCAGAAUGUUGUUAAGCUGGCUUUUAGCCAAUCUCUGAGAGAACUAUAAUCACUAGUUGACCUAGUGAUUCUGAACAGAUAGAAUUCCUAUUUAGAGCUUCCCCAUUAUUUAAAGCAAAAGCAUUUUCUAGAUGAUGUAAAAGGUUUUCUUUUUAGUUUGUUUGGUGAUAAGAGUUUUUGUUAAUCACUUGGGAAUAUUCAACAUAACAAAUUAUUCAGUACAAUCAGAUUAUAUAAGUAAGCUUCUGAAAUUUUUCUUUUUAGCAUAUUUAAGUGUUGCAAAACUUGAAAUCAAAUCCUGAUAUGAUAAGGGCUAUUCCUAUUUGCUAAUUCAUAAUUUCUCAAUUUACAUAGCUUACUUCAGUUGAUUUACCUAAGGCUUGGUUUUGUUUCUUUCCAUUGUUGUUUGGUUUUAGUUUAUUUGGGACCAGGUAUAGUGCUCCACAUCUGUAGUCCUGCCAGUCAUAAAGCUGAGGCAAAAAGAUUGAGAGUUCAAGGCAGUGUAAGCUACUUAGCAAGACCCUGUCAUAAAUAAGAGGUUACUUUGUUCAUCUGGUUUAACGUGUGUAAGUACAUAAUAUUCAGAUGAAAUACAUUCUCAAAGUCAUUUUCCAUGUUUCACAUUUGCUUUCUGUAAAUUUAAUACUCAGACAAGCACUAUGGG
Molecule: long non-coding RNA, 1768 nt
Organism: Octodon degus (degu)
Lineage: Eukaryota; Metazoa; Chordata; Mammalia; Rodentia; Octodontidae
Exons: 2
Source: RefSeq, a predicted model, not a curated record